This 301-nucleotide ribosomal RNA is filed under the name uncultured bacterium. Its description in RNAcentral is "partial 16S ribosomal RNA". It matches the Rfam family "Bacterial small subunit ribosomal RNA", at positions 509 to 807 of the family's 1533-position model. The record is from RNAcentral.
CAGCAGCCGCGGGAAUACGUAGGGUGCGAGCGUUAAUCGGAAUUACUGGGCGUAAAGCGUGCGCAGGCGGUUCGUUAAGACAGAUGUGAAAUCCCCGGGCUUAACCUGGGAAUUGCAUUUGAUACUGUUUGGCUUGAGUUCGGGAGAGGUGAGUGGAAUUCCCAGUGUAGAGGUGAAAUUCGUAGAUAUUGGGAAGAACACCGGUGGCGAAGGCGGCGACCUGGUUCAUGACUGACGCUGAGGCGCGAAAGCGUGGGGAGCAGACAGGAUUAGAUACCCCUGUAGUCCCUGUCUCUUAUAC